RNAcentral lists this ribosomal RNA (482 nucleotides) under uncultured bacterium. RNAcentral describes it as "partial 16S ribosomal RNA". It matches the Rfam family "Bacterial small subunit ribosomal RNA", at positions 30 to 507 of the family's 1533-position model. The record is from RNAcentral.
AUUGAACGCUGGCGGCAUGCCUUACACAUGCAAGUCGAACGGCAACAGGUCUUCGGAUGCUGACGAGUGGCGAACGGGUGAGUAAUACAUCGGAACGUGCCCGAUCGUGGGGGAUAACGGAGCGAAAGCUUUGCUAAUACCGCAUACGAUCUACGGAUGAAAGCAGGGGACCGCAAGGCCUUGCGCGGACGGAGCGGCCGAUGGCAGAUUAGGUAGUUGGUGGGAUAAAAGCUUACCAAGCCGACGAUCUGUAGCUGGUCUGAGAGGACGACCAGCCACACUGGGACUGAGACACGGCCCAGACUCCUACGGGAGGCAGCAGUGGGGAAUUUUGGACAAUGGGCGAAAGCCUGAUCCAGCCAUGCCGCGUGCAGGAUGAAGGCCUUCGGGUUGUAAACUGCUUUUGUACGGAACGAAAAGACUCUUUCUAAUAAAGAGGGUCCAUGACGGUACCGUAAGAAUAAGCACCGGCUAACUACGUG